This 440-nucleotide ribosomal RNA is filed under the name uncultured bacterium. Its description in RNAcentral is "bacterial SSU rRNA". It matches the Rfam family "Bacterial small subunit ribosomal RNA", at positions 958 to 1392 of the family's 1533-position model. The record is from RNAcentral.
AACGCGAAGAACCUUACCAAGGCUUGACAUCGCCGGAAAUCCCGCAGAGAUGCGGGGUCCUUUUUGGGCCGGUGACAGGUGGUGCAUGGCUGUCGUCAGCUCGUGUCGUGAGAUGUUGGGUUAAGUCCCGCAACGAGCGCAACCCUCGUUCCAUGUUGCCAGCAACACCUUCGGGUGGUUGGGGACUCAUGGGAGACCGCCGGGGUCAACUCGGAGGAAGGUGGGGAUGACGUCAAGUCAUCAUGCCCCUUAUGUCCAGGGCUUCUCGCAUGCUACAAUGGCCGGUACAGAGGGCUGCGAUGCCGUGAGGUGGAGCGAAUCUCUUAAAGCCGGUCUCAGUUCGGAUCGGGGUCUGCAACUCGACCCCGUGAAGUCGGAGUCGCUAGUAAACGUAGGUCAGCACACUACGUUGAAUACGUUCUCGGGCCUUGUACACACCG